UUGACGCUGGCGGCAGGCUAACACAUGCAAGUCGAGCGGUAGCACAGAGAGCUUGCUCUCGGGUGACGAGCGGCGGACGGGUGAGUAAUGUCUGGGAAACUGCCUGAUGGAGGGGGAUAACUACUGGAAACGGUAGCUAAUACCGCAUAACGUCGCAAGACCAAAGAGGGGGACCUUCGGGCCUCUUGCCAUCAGAUGUGCCCAGAUGGGAUUAGCUAGUAGGUGGGGUAAUGGCUCACCUAGGCGACGAUCCCUAGCUGGUCUGAGAGGAUGACCAGCCACACUGGAACUGAGACACGGUCCAGACUCCUACGGGAGGCAGCAGUGGGGAAUAUUGCACAAUGGGCGCAAGCCUGAUGCAGCCAUGCCGCGUGUAUGAAGAAGGCCUUCGGGUUGUAAAGUACUUUCAGCGAGGAGGAAGGCAUUGAGGUUAAUAACCUCAGUGAUUGACGUUACUCGCAGAAGAAGCACCGGCUAACUCC
Molecule: ribosomal RNA, 482 nt
Filed under: Pseudomonas fluorescens bv. B
Lineage: Bacteria; Pseudomonadati; Pseudomonadota; Gammaproteobacteria; Pseudomonadales; Pseudomonadaceae
Description: bacterial SSU rRNA
Rfam family: Bacterial small subunit ribosomal RNA
Source: RNAcentral